This 1732-nucleotide ribosomal RNA is filed under the name Triticum polonicum. RNAcentral's name for it is "bacterial LSU rRNA". It matches the Rfam family "Bacterial large subunit ribosomal RNA", at positions 831 to 2925 of the family's 2925-position model. The record is from RNAcentral. Lineage: Eukaryota; Viridiplantae; Streptophyta; Magnoliopsida; Poales; Poaceae.
AAUCGAACUUGGAGAUAGCUGGUUUUCUGCGAAAGCUAUAAAGGUAGCGCGUUUUCAGGGGCUGUUUAGAAGUGUAAGGCACUAGAAGACUCAAGAGAGUUAGAACCCAAGAAUAGCUAAACAGAGAGAGAAAAUAGACAGACUUAGAGCGAUAAGGUCCUAGGUCGAGAGGGAAACAACCCAGAACCAAAGUUAAGGUCAUGAAGAGGAUCGGAUAGUGUAAGGCCGGUUAAUCGACGAAGACACCUAAGAAGUAGGCUUGGAAACAGCCAGCUAGAGAGAACACGUAACAGUGCAUUAGAAGAGUGGGAGAGCGCCAAAAAUUCAGGUGGCAAAGAUCCGCACCGAAACUAGGAGAAGAGAAAGGGUAGCAGAACAAUUCGUAAAAAAUCGAAAGAGAAAAUGCAAAUAUGAGUAACGAACAUCAAAGAGAGAAUGAACCGGAGAGCCCGAGGAGUAAGAAGAAGCAGCCCCUAAGUCAAGAACCCCGAAAGGGGAGGAACGAUGGGAAGAAGAGAGGGAAGGAAUCGGGAAAAGCCGCUCUUAAAAGAACUGUACCAAUCUGACACAAGUGGGCAAGUAGAGAAUACAAAGGUUAAUGAAGAAUAAUCCUUAAGGAACUCGGCAAAAUGUCUCAGUAAGGAAACGAGAAUGAGACCAGGGAGGAGCAUAGAAUCGGGGAGGCCGACUGUUUACCAAAAACAUAGCUUUUAGCGAACACGAAAGUGGAAGUAAUAGAAGCGACCCCUGCCCAAUGAUUGUAUCCGAAAUGUCAAUAUGAAAGUAUGGACAAUAAGGGCAAUUUAAUGGCCGCAGUAACUCUGACUGUGAUAAUGUAGCGCAAUCAAUAGUCAAUUAAUUGUUGACAGGUAUGAAAGGGGUAACGAGUUUCCCACUGUCUCAAGGAUUAAUCGCGUGAAAUUGGAGACGUAGUGAAGAUACUAUGAAAAGAACGUCACGGGACAAGAAGACCCUGUCAGCUUAACUGUUAUUAUGAUCGGCGAUGGAAGGUCAAAGAGAGUAGUAAGAACUGGGAAAUCUAAAGAGACAAAUGAAAAACCAGGAUCAAGGACCAAACAAAGCUAAACAUUAAAAAAAACAAAAUAAGAAAAAGCAUAAGAGACAGUUUGGUUGGGGCGACAGCCUUUUAAAAGGUAACAAAGGCUUACAAAGGUAGACAAAGAAGUGCAAUAGCAAAAGUCUGCUUGACUGUGAGUAGGAUAUUACGAGCAGGGACGAAAGUCGGUUAUAGUGACCAGCUAGAAGGGAAUGGAAAAGCUAGCAAUCAGAAGGGAAGUUACGACAGGGAUAACAGGGUAAUACCGCCUAAGAGUCCAUAUCGACGGCGGAGUUUGCCACCUCGAUGUUGAAUCGGCGCUGCUCGGGGGUGUAGAAGCUCCCAAGAGUCGGACUGUUCGUCCGUUAAAGCGCCACGUGAUUUGAGUUCAGACCGUUGUAAAACAGGUCGGCUUAUAUCUGUGAUGUGAGAGAAACCAAGAUCAAGAUUUAGAUUGUACGCAAGGACCUCUAAGUCUGUCCCACUGAUGUACCUGUUGUCAAGAGGCAUAGCAGGGUAGUUACGGACAAACGGAUAAGAGCUGAAAGCAUCUAAAGCACGAAGCCGAAGAAAGAAAGUUUCAAGGAUAGCAGGAGACUACUGCAAAGAUAGGCUGUGUGUGAAGCGUAUGAGAAUAUGUGGGCAGAACAGUACUAAAGAUCCAGGCACUUAAAC